AGAGGCACGGCCCCGGAAGUCCGAGCCUGGGAUUGCAGGCUGGGCUCUGACGUCACUGCCGCCCGGAGAGGCUGGGGAUGGAGUCCCCACCUCCCUCACCCUCCACCUCUGCCGUCCCACGACCAGUGCGGGAAAGAGGGUCCCCACGUGCCUCUGAGAACCCUUGGGCUUCCCCGGUGGUGCAGUGGUUAAGAAUCCGCCUGCUAAUGCAGGGGACGUGGGUUCGAGCCCUGGUCUGGGAGGAUCCCACAUGCCACGGAGCAACUGGGCCCGUGAGCCACAACUACUGAGCCUGCGCGUCUGGAGCCUGUGCUCCGCAACAAGAGAGGCCGCGACAGUGAGAGGCCCGCGCACCGCGAUGAGGAGUGGCCCCCGCUUGCCACAACUAGAGAAAUCCCUAGCACAGAAACGAAGACCCAACACAGCCAUAAAUAAACUUUGUCCCCACAGCACCCAAGAGCCAGUCAGCGGAGAUGCAGAGCCGCGGCAAAGAGCACUACAGCGGCCAGCCCCCUGCUGGGCAGUUCCAAGCACGGUGACCACGGAGCACCUCCGCUUCCUCACCUGCUCAGAGACCAGCACACAGCAGACGCUUAAGCAAGGAAAGGAAACCUCUUCCUGGUGACCGGACUGUGGGGGUGCUUCUCCAGCCUGGCUGUAGGAAGACGUCGUGCAAACACAGACCAGACACCGUCUGAGGCCAGCAGCUGGGCAGGAUGCCCACACCUUCUUCCCUCCCAUCCCCACAAAGGGCUCUUGUGUCCCCCUGGCUGGGCCGGUGUCACCGCUUUCUGAGCAGUGUUGUCUCUGCUGCCUCUGGCGCCUGUGGGCCAGCCAGGCAGGGGUGGGGCAGGCACCGUCAGCAGAGCUGUCACCGUCAUCGUGGCUGCAGACGGAGAGGUGAGGGUCCUGCAGAGGCGCCACCAGGCCGCCAGGCCUCCCGCCUCCCCGAGGGCAUCCCUGGGAGCAGGGCGUCUUCCUGGAAAUGCCCACUCUCUCCGGGAGGAUGUUUGCCUGGCCCCAGACCUGGGUUCCUCAAGUGCAGCUCUCCCGACCUCAGGCUGCGAGCACGCCCUGGGGACUGGCCGGAUGCCCGUGGUUCCUCGCCAUCCUGGGGAGGACCAAUCAUCCCAAACCCCUCUGCUUUCCACUCCUAACAUGGUCACUAGCGUGACUCUGAACACCCGCCCACCCAGCGCUCCAGACAGAACCAGCACACUGGUCCUGAGGCCCCUGCUAUGGACGAAGGAACCUUCUGGAAGGACAAUUUCACCGCAGACCACCUGGACAGAACGCAAGGCAGCCGGUUUCCUCUUCCACACUCUUCUUAGCACACGACGGUUCUGCUGCCACCUUUGGACUCACAAAGUUAGCCCUGGAGGGGCUGCAGCCCCCAGCCCGGGAGCCCCGCCCCGAGGGACGGUGGAAGCACUUGGGACUGCAGGCUGGUCACUUGAGCUCUCGAGCAGCAGUGUCCUCACCUGGAAAAUGGGGACGAUCCCUACCUCUGGCAUCAGAUGUACACGGCCUGCAGUUUCUCCCCAGUGGCAGGCCAGUGCGCUCUGGAGCCGGGGAACCUGAGUCUGCAUCCCAGCCCCUGACUGUGGGCUGCCUGACCCGAGAGCCCACUUCCUCGCUGUGGCCACCACCCCCAGGGCUGGUGGAAGAGAAAGGCAGGCAGGGGAACGCCGGCUGUGAGGUGCCACCUGGACACCGGUCCCCAGGCCAGCCCUGCACACGUCUCCUCCUGGCUUCCCUUUCAAUGUCCCACGCCAGCCAGCGCCCACAUGCCCACGAUUUCCCCGGAAACACACACGUAGUCACUGUCCCCUUAGCCUUUUCCCUCUGGGCACUGGAAACACAGGUUGAAAUCUGCCCACUCUGGGUGCAGAGUGCCCGCUGUCAGAGGAGCCCUGGACCAGCCACCAGGCCACCCGCUGCAAUAGGUGGAAUCUUCUGGCCCCUGGCUGGGCUCGCAGAGAUCAUACGGGAAUGGGUCCUGUGCAUUUCCUUGCUUGGGCUUCCGAGCCACAGAAACUGAUUUCCUCGCAGCCCUGGAGGCUGGAAGUCCCAAGAUCAAGGCGUGGGCAGGGCUGAUUUCUUCUGAGGCCUCUCUCCCUGGCUUGUGGACGGCCGUCUUCUCCCUGGGUCCUCACGUGGUUACCCCUCUGUGUGUGUCCGUGUGCUGAUCCCUGCUUCUCAUUAGGACACCAGUCUUACUGGAUCAGGACCCAUGUGUAUGACCUCAUUUUACCUUAAUCGCCUCUUUAAAGGCCCGUCUUCAAGAACAGUCACGUUCUGAGGUGCUGGGGGUAGGACUUUGGCAUAUGGAUUUGGGGGGACACAGUUCAGCCAUAACAUCUUGUGUGGUCAUUACUGUGGGGAAGAAGGACAUCAAAUCCAAGGUGCAGUAGCACUGUGGUCACAAGGGAAACCCCCGGACUCCACGUCCUCCCUGCUGAGCUCCCCCAAUUCAGAAGAUGCCGAGAAUGCUCCUCCCCUGGGGUUGCUCUUCCCACCUGGACCUCCCUUCUGCUCUUCCCUUCCUGUAAGUUCUCGUGGAAGGUCAGCAUCCGCUCGCUGAAUGACCAAGCCUGAGCACGACCACUGCUGCUUCCCUGGCCAAGUCGAGUUCGUGUUCACAAAGCCUUUAUCCAGCAUUCUGUCAUUUGA
Long non-coding RNA from Balaenoptera acutorostrata (minke whale), 2673 nucleotides. RefSeq lists it as uncharacterized. NCBI's taxonomy places the organism in Eukaryota, Metazoa, Chordata, Mammalia, Artiodactyla, Balaenopteridae. The record is from RefSeq and is a predicted model, not a curated record. The transcript has 4 exons.